CUCUACGCUGGCUGGACUAACACUGGACCCAGGACUGGUCUUGCUGCAACUUGCAUGCCCAGUACAAAGCUCAGCUUCACAGGACACUCUACUACAGCAGCAACUACGCGGAGUAGAGGCUGUGCCAACCCAGCAGCUCACUGAUGCAUGAGAGUUCCCCUUACCUGCCAUGAAAUGCAGAGUGACACUGGAGCUGUUUUCAAGAAGCACCCUUUCCCUCUCUUCAGUUUGAAUCUAAGGCAAGAGGCACUCAGAGACAAAGAAGGUUUUUUAAAGUCCCAGAGGAAACAAGAAAAUCAUUCUUAAAGUACUCUCAUAUCUUCAAGGCUAUUUAAGUCCUACAGAACUCUGUAGGCACUCCCCACCAGAAAACACAAGGAGUCAGAAGCUCAAAGAUAAGAUGCACACCUCACCAGCCCCUCAAAUGAAGUCUAAGCACCUCUGUUGACUCAGGUUUUUUCAUGGACACCGUUGAUGCCCAGUAAGGCUUUCAGGUAUGGAAAAGACCCACUGCAU
Molecule: long non-coding RNA, 516 nt
Organism: Aquila chrysaetos chrysaetos
Lineage: Eukaryota; Metazoa; Chordata; Aves; Accipitriformes; Accipitridae
Exons: 2
Source: RefSeq, a predicted model, not a curated record